Molecule: unclassified non-coding RNA, 673 nt
Filed under: uncultured Prochlorococcus sp.
Lineage: Bacteria; Bacillati; Cyanobacteriota; Cyanophyceae; Synechococcales; Prochlorococcaceae
Description: partial may contain 16S ribosomal RNA, 16S-23S ribosomal RNA intergenic spacer, and 23S ribosomal RNA
Rfam family: Bacterial small subunit ribosomal RNA (bases 1-95)
Source: RNAcentral
CCUUGUGGAGGAGGACGCCGAAGGUGGGGCUAAUGACUGGGGUGAAGUCGUAACAAGGUAGCCGUACCGGAAGGUGCGGCUGGAUCACCUCCUAACAGGGAGACAACAAAAUGUUUAAUAUUAUUAUUUUGUCACCUUAGGUCGAUCGGUAUCUCACGUUUUUAAUUUAUUAAGAAUUUCUUUCCUAAGUUUUUCUAGGUCACACCCAUUAUUUUUCCUGGGCCAUUAGCUCAGGUGGUUAGAGCGCACCCCUGAUAAGGGUGAGGUCCCUGGUUCAAGUCCAGGAUGGCCCAUAUCUCUAUGUUGGGGGUAUAGCUCAGUUGGUAGAGCGCCUGCUUUGCAAGCAGGAUGUCAGCGGUUCGAGUCCGCUUACCUCCACUGAUUACCACCUCUUCCAUAUCCGGUAAAAAGGAAAUGUUCUGAGUUGUGAUCAAAUUCUGAAAGAAUCUAGCUUCCUAAUGAAAUCAUUAAGAUGCUGGACUCAUUGAAUUAAUUUCAUUGUUUUCAGAGAACCUUGACAACUGCAUAGAUUAUUUUUAAAGACAAUAAGCAUCUUUAAUGAUGCAGAUUUAUUAUUUGUGCGAAUGCAUUAAUAACAAUUCUAUUAAGCUGAUGCUUCAAUUUUUGAAGUUAUUGGUCAAGCUACAAAGGGCUCACGGAGGAUACCUAGGCA